RNAcentral lists this ribosomal RNA (157 nucleotides) under Armeria cariensis. Its description in RNAcentral is "5.8S ribosomal RNA". It matches the Rfam family "5.8S ribosomal RNA". Rfam says of the family: 5.8S ribosomal RNA (5.8S rRNA) is a component of the large subunit of the eukaryotic ribosome. It is transcribed by RNA polymerase I as part of the 45S precursor that also contains 18S and 28S rRNA. Functionally, it is thought that 5.8S rRNA may be involved in ribosome translocation. Lineage: Eukaryota; Viridiplantae; Streptophyta; Magnoliopsida; Caryophyllales; Plumbaginaceae. The record is from RNAcentral.
AUGACUCUCGGCAACGGAUAUCUCGGCUCUCGCAUCGAUGAAGAACGUAGCGAAAUGCGAUACUUGGUGUGAAUUGCAGAAUCCCGUGAACCAUCGAGUCUUUGAACGCAAGUUGCGCCCGAAGCCUUUUGGCCGAGGGCACGUUUGCCUGGGCUUC